This 177-nucleotide ribosomal RNA is filed under the name uncultured bacterium. Its description in RNAcentral is "partial 16S ribosomal RNA". It matches the Rfam family "Bacterial small subunit ribosomal RNA", at positions 1323 to 1500 of the family's 1533-position model. The record is from RNAcentral.
AAGUCGGAAUUGCUAGUAAUCGCGGAUCAGCAUGCCGCGGUGAAUACGUUCUCGGGCCUUGUACACACCGCCCGUCACACCAUGGGAGUCGGUAACACCCGAAGUCUGUAGCCUGACGCAAGAGGGCGCAGCCGAAGGUGGGGAUUGAUGACUGGGGUGAAGUCGUAACAAGGUACC